RNAcentral lists this transfer RNA (72 nucleotides) under Ictidomys tridecemlineatus (thirteen-lined ground squirrel). RNAcentral's name for it is "Spermophilus tridecemlineatus (thirteen-lined ground squirrel) tRNA". It matches the Rfam family "tRNA". From Rfam's summary of the family: Transfer RNA (tRNA) molecules are approximately 80 nucleotides in length. Their secondary structure includes four short double-helical elements and three loops (D, anti-codon, and T loops). Further hydrogen bonds mediate the characteristic L-shaped molecular structure. tRNAs have two regions of fundamental functional importance: the anti-codon, which is responsible for specific mRNA codon recognition, and the 3' end, to which the tRNAs corresponding amino acid is attached (by aminoacyl-tRNA synthetases). tRNAs cope with the degeneracy of the genetic code in two manners: having more than one tRNA (with a specific anti-codon) for a particular amino acid; and 'wobble' base-pairing, i.e. permitting non-standard base-pairing at the 3rd anti-codon position. Lineage: Eukaryota; Metazoa; Chordata; Mammalia; Rodentia; Sciuridae. The record is from Rfam by way of RNAcentral.
AGAGUUGUGGCUCAGUAGUAAAGCACUUGCCUUCCAUGCAUGGGGCACUGAGUUCGAUCCUUAGCACCACAU